UGCUGCUCAAUCUUUAUGUCUCUAUGGA
Molecule: non-coding RNA, 28 nt
Filed under: Rattus norvegicus (Norway rat)
Lineage: Eukaryota; Metazoa; Chordata; Mammalia; Rodentia; Muridae
Source: RNAcentral